CUUCUCUUAGGAUAGCAUCUGGAGAGUUUCCAGUACUCUACUAGACUCGGCUAUGGAAGAGAGAGUCAAGCGGACUAUCUAUUCCAUUCCUAGCUUGGGCAGUGGCUAGCGAGUGGAAGGCAAUCUGCUACAAGU
Ornithorhynchus anatinus (platypus) is the source of this 135-nucleotide small nucleolar RNA. The record is from RefSeq and is a predicted model, not a curated record. NCBI's taxonomy places the organism in Eukaryota, Metazoa, Chordata, Mammalia, Monotremata, Ornithorhynchidae.